This 67-nucleotide transfer RNA is filed under the name Acleris fimbriana (yellow tortrix). RNAcentral describes it as "tRNA-Asn". The record is from RNAcentral. Lineage: Eukaryota; Metazoa; Arthropoda; Insecta; Lepidoptera; Tortricidae.
UUAAUUGAAACCAAAAUAGAGGUAUAUCACUGUUAAUGAUAUUAAUGAAAUAAAAUUUCCAAUUAAA